RNAcentral lists this long non-coding RNA (1230 nucleotides) under Triticum aestivum (bread wheat). Its description in RNAcentral is "long non-coding RNA (TAES_LNC025502)". Lineage: Eukaryota; Viridiplantae; Streptophyta; Magnoliopsida; Poales; Poaceae. The record is from RNAcentral.
GUUAGUAGCUGUAAGCCUAUAAGUUAAAAAAACUGAACUGUGUUCAAUUGUGAUGGACUUCAUACGAGGCAAAGCUCAGGCAUACGCUAAUAUCUCAGAGCACUUGGAUAAGCUAGUGUGGUCCACCAUGGCAUAUUAUCCUGUUAUCCUGGUUAUACACCCUCAUAUUCUUAUCUUGAACCACUUGUAAGUUGGCAGAGAUUGAAAUUCACAUAUACACAGAAUACGCUGGUUGUAGGUAAACAUCAUCCUAUCUAUGCAAUAGUGCUUUUAAAGACCACUACUCUAUGUCCUCUUUUUCUUAUGUUUAUCACAUGUUUUUAAUUUCCUCUCUUGGUUUCUCAUGGCAUCUUACAUUGAUUUGUACUCUUCUGGCAUGUCCUACAAUAGUUCCUGCAAAAAUGUGUACUACAUUAUAUCAGGUAAAAUCAUUUGUAAAAUGAGAAAAGAGUGUCUAGUUCCAUUGUAAAAGGUGGCUACUAUUUUAAUGGAAAAAAACAUGAGAUUACAAUGUAAUGAAGCCAAAAAAUAAAGAACUUAAUGUAGAACACAUCUUACAUGAAAAUAUGAAAUGAAACUGCAAAAAGUUACAGAAAUCAAGUAGCCAAGAUGUGCAAGAAGCAAUGAAAUAUUUUGGAGGCGAAGCCGAAAUGAAAUGGGAGUGAAAAAGCACCUCUCGACGGAUCAAAACAUAUAUUAUCUUCCAUACAUGCUGACUACUUACAUGGAUGAUGCAUAAGCAUCGGAAAUUUUAAAAAAGAAAAACAUACAUGUAAUAUCCGCAUAUUCAUGUAGUGCAACUUCUUAAGAGCCUUCUUUCUAGGGUUGAAAGCUUCUGAAAAGCCUACGAUUAUCUAAAUUUCCAUAAGUAGCAGACAUGAAAUUUGCAUCAAAAUAAUCACAAUUAAGAGUCUAUAGUACAUCUUGAGCAACAAACUAGUGGUUCAGUAUAGCGUCAUGAAAUAAGAGUACCCUUGCUGAAGAUACAGUCAAACAAAAAGUAGUUUUACUGAGUCAAUUGUCCAAUUUAGAGUUAACAUAUGGACUGCAAUAACCAAGCAUCAACUACAGCAGCUGGACGUUUGUGAACAAAUAACUUAUAACUACACAUGAGGAAGCAAAUCUGCAUGAACUCCGAGCGGGCACCAUCAAAUUUUACAGAUUAAGUGAUCAUCUCCCAGGCAAAUCUGCAUGAACCUAUCUUUACAGCCAUUCCAGACCCUCAACGUG